AAUCCAUAGGUUAAUGAGGCGAACCGGGGGAACUGAAACAUCUAAGUACCCCGAGGAAAAGAAAUCAACCGAGAUUCCCCCAGUAGCGGCGAGCGAACGGGGAGGAGCCCAGAGCCUGAAUCAGCAUGUGUGUUAGUGGAAGCGUCUGGAAAGGCGCGCGAUACAGGGUGACAGCCCCGUACACAAAAGCGCAUGUGCUGUGAGCUCGAUGAGUAGGGCGGGACACGUGGUAUCCUGUCUGAAUAUGGGGGGACCAUCCUCCAAGGCUAAAUACUCCUGACUGACCGAUAGUGAACCAGUACCGUGAGGGAAAGGCGAAAAGAACCCCGGCGAGGGGAGUGAAAAAGAACCUGAAACCGUGUACGUACAAGCAGUGGGAGCACCCUUUGGGGUGUGACUGCGUACCUUUUGUAUAAUGGGUCAGCGACUUAUAUUCUGUAGCA
This 443-nucleotide ribosomal RNA is filed under the name Salmonella enterica. RNAcentral's name for it is "partial 23S ribosomal RNA". It matches the Rfam family "Bacterial large subunit ribosomal RNA", at positions 161 to 642 of the family's 2925-position model. RNAcentral also lists the same sequence under 5 other names. Lineage: Bacteria; Pseudomonadati; Pseudomonadota; Gammaproteobacteria; Enterobacterales; Enterobacteriaceae. The record is from RNAcentral.